GCCGGAACUUCCGAGGAGUUUCCCACCCCUCGACACGGAGAUAAUUGAAACGAGCACAAACCGCCAAAAAUCAACAUGUUCACCUCACCACCCACCAACCUUUUCGAGAACUGAGAAGGCAACGUGUUCAUCUCGACCAUCGCAACGAAAAUGAAACAAUAUUUCAGACCUGAGUCGUGUCUUCUUCCAGCACCUCCCUCCGAGGGAAGAGAAACGUCUUUCUAACCCAGUGAAAAUAGGGCGUUUUUUAUGUCAAGCUAAGACAAAUAUAUUUAGAGAAAUUUUAGAAA
Culex quinquefasciatus (southern house mosquito) is the source of this 290-nucleotide long non-coding RNA. RefSeq lists it as uncharacterized. The record is from RefSeq and is a predicted model, not a curated record. The transcript is spliced from 2 exons. Lineage: Eukaryota; Metazoa; Arthropoda; Insecta; Diptera; Culicidae.